RNAcentral lists this ribosomal RNA (500 nucleotides) under uncultured bacterium. RNAcentral's name for it is "bacterial SSU rRNA". It matches the Rfam family "Bacterial small subunit ribosomal RNA", at positions 28 to 526 of the family's 1533-position model. The record is from RNAcentral.
GAUGAACGCUAGCGGCAGGCCUAACACAUGCAAGUCGAGGGGUAUAGUUCUUCGGAACUAGAGACCGGCGCACGGGUGCGUAACGCGUAUGCAAUCUACCUUUUACAGGGGAAUAGCCCAGAGAAAUUUGGAUUAAUGCCCCAUAGUGUUAUAGAAUCGCAUGGUUUUAUAACUAAAGUUCCAACGGUAAAAGAUGAGCAUGCGUCCCAUUAGUUAGUUGGUAAGGUAACGGCUUACCAAGACAAUGAUGGGUAGGGGUCCUGAGAGGGAGAUCCCCCACACUGGUACUGAGACACGGACCAGACUCCUACGGGAGGCAGCAGUGAGGAAUAUUGGACAAUGGGCGGCAAGCCUGAUCCAGCCAUGCCGCGUGCAGGAAGACGGUCCUAUGGAUUGUAAACUAGCUUUUGUACAGGAAGAAACACUCCCUCGUGAGGGAGCUUGACGGUACUGUAAGAAUAAGGAUCGGCUAACUACCGUGCCAGCAGCCGCGGUAAAGU